AAGUCGUAACAAGGUUUCCGUAGGUGAACCUGCGGAAGGAUCAUUACAAAUCCAUCCACGUCUCUCUUUGAGACCACGUUGAAAUGUUCCCCAGACCAGGAGGGUCUCUCUUUCCUUUCGGGCUGCCAAGAACGCGCGCGCUCUUGCUCUCUCUUCCUCUUCUGGGGUGGGGAGGGCGAGGGUCGGACGCUCCUGGUGCGCCUGCCUGGGAGAGGUCCCCCCUGGGCUGGGCUGUGAAACUAGUGUUACUUUGUUGCCCAAAUGUAUCUUGAUUUCAAUCAAACGAAAACUUGUACAACUUAUAACAAUGGAUCUCUAGGCUCUU
RNAcentral lists this unclassified non-coding RNA (325 nucleotides) under fungal sp. RNAcentral's name for it is "partial internal transcribed spacer region". The stretch from base 1 to 46 matches the Rfam family "Eukaryotic small subunit ribosomal RNA", at positions 1786 to 1831 of the family's 1831-position model. RNAcentral also lists the same sequence under 1 other name. The record is from RNAcentral. Lineage: Eukaryota; Fungi.